RNAcentral lists this ribosomal RNA (832 nucleotides) under Phaeoacremonium hungaricum. RNAcentral's name for it is "partial large subunit ribosomal RNA". It matches the Rfam family "Eukaryotic large subunit ribosomal RNA", at positions 69 to 935 of the family's 3401-position model. Lineage: Eukaryota; Fungi; Ascomycota; Sordariomycetes; Togniniales; Togniniaceae. The record is from RNAcentral.
CAGGGAUUGCCCCAGUAACGGCGAGUGAAGCGGCAACAGCUCAAAUUUGAAAUCUGGCCUCGGCCCGAGUUGUAAUUUGCAGAGGAUGUUUCUGGCGCGGUGCCUUCUGAGUUCCCUGGAACGGGACGCCAUAGAGGGUGAGAGCCCCGUACGGUUGGACGCCUAGCCUGUGUGAAACUCCUUCGACGAGUCGAGUAGUUUGGGAAUGCUGCUCAAAAUGGGAGGUAUAUCUCUUCUAAAGCUAAAUAUUGGCCAGAGACCGAUAGCGCACAAGUAGAGUGAUCGAAAGAUGAAAAGCACCUUGAAAAGGGGGUUAAACAGCACGUGAAAUUGUUGAAAGGGAAGCGCCCAUGACCAGACUUGUGCCCGGCGGAUCACCCAGCGUUCUCGCUGGGGCACUCCGCCGGGUCCAGGCCAGCAUCGGUUUUCGCCGGGGGAUAAAGGCUCUGGGAACGUAGCUCCUCCGGGAGUGUUAUAGCCCUCUGCGUAAUACCCUGGCGGGGACCGAGGUACGCGCUCCGCAAGGAUGCUGGCGUAAUGGUCAUCAGCGACCCGUCUUGAAACACGGAUCAAGGAGUCGUCCAUUAGAGCGAGCGUUUGGGUGUCAAACCCGCACGCGUAAUGAAAGUGAACGUAGGUGAGAGCUUCGGCGCAUCAUCGACCGAUCCUGAUGUCCUCGGAUGGAUUUGAGUAUGAGUUUUACUGGACGGACCCGAAAGAUGGUGAACUAUGCCUGUAUAGGGUGAAGCCAGAGGAAACUCUGGUGGAGGCUCGCAGCGGUUCUGACGUGCAAAUCGAUCGUCAAAUAUGGGCAUGGGGGCGAAAGACUAAU